CCCUCAGACCCGCAUUUUAUCCACGGGUCCUGUGAAGCCCGCUCGGCCCAGACUCUCCCGCCGCGCGUGGCUGCGAGCUCCAAUCCCGUCGCUCCCUCUCCCCUUCCUCCUCCGCUCCCAGCCGCCGCCUCCGCUCCGCGCCCGCCCUCCGCGCCCCCGCUCCGCGCCCGACGCCGCCAGGCCACCGCUCGCCGUCCGACGCCGCCGCUUUGUCCUCCUCCUCACGUUCUCCUCCUCCAAAUCGUCCCCUCAAUCCCCAUCCGUUCGCCGUCGCUACUGCCCCUCUCCUCCAUCCUUCCUCCUCCCUGCUGCUUAGUAGGAGGAGCACGAUGCGCCGCCGCACUUCGUCGUCCUCCCAAUCCCAGCACGAUUCUCCUCCCCCAAUCGAUCUCCGGCGAGUGCGAGAGGAGGAGGCCGCCGCUGCUCGCUCAGAGUUGGGUCCCCACGAGCACAAGAGGAGGAGGCCUCCGUUACCGUGCCCCACCAUGGGCCGCAGCCUCACCCAGCGACCCUCCUUUUCUUCUGCAUCUUCGUCCACCACGUCGCGCGAAGAGACGAGGCCCUGCCCUCCGCCCUCAUCUUCCUCCUGCGACCUCUCCCCAUGGCUGAGCAGCCCACACUUUCGUGAGAUUUUGGAGGAGGAGAGUUGGAUGUGGCGCAGUGCCACCCUCUACCCGAUGCAACCCGUCGGUUUGACAGUGAUGAAGCCUACUGUUUCUACAGAUCUAAAUGUGGCAGAGAGAUAUGAAGUAGGCAAGAAGAGACGGCAAUGGAGUGAGGAAAAGGAGAGGCCUAGCAACGGGGGAACCACAUCAUGAAUCUCCACUCCAUGCCCACAUGUACCCAUUUUCCCAACAAUGCCAACGGACUUCUCCCAGGAAGAAGUUGAUUUGGCAUCCAACUAGCUGGUUGAACCAGGACCACGCCCUUAUAAUAUUGUCAGAACACCAUUUGUUCAGUGCAAACAGGACAAUUUAUGUCUGUUUGAUUCUGGUUAGGAAGCGCCACUUUAUCAACUCGUGGACUGGAUUGUUACUGCUCAGGAAGCAUGUUUCUCCAGAGGCAAGGAAAAUGGACAUGCUACAAAUGAGGUUGAUAGGUUUACUGCCAGGUUCAGAUCUUCCGCUCACGAAAUUUGCCCUUUGGGGCAGCAUACAUUAUAACUUAAACUCGGCUUUGAUGGUACAAUACUGAAGUGUUUGAUGGAUCGUGGAUUCAUGUUCAUUGAUGCAAGCUCCGUGCAAUAUGGUCAUUGAGCCUGAACCCAACGAUGUUAUCUAGUAUGUUCACCAGACACAACUUUUGCUUAUGGUAUUAUUAGCUCCAACGCCUGCGAACUGCUGCUGAUUUAGGAGUGAGAACUAGAAGCAUCAUGCAGACUGCACCGCGAUCUCACCCUCAUGCCAGUGCCCAUGUCGAAAAAGCUAGCACGUUCCUGGGGAAUGGCAUGUCAUGUGUCGAGGUAAUGAACUCUAUAUUUCCUUCCAUACAUAUUGCAAUUUUUGUUGCUAUAUUGUGUACCAUUCAUAGAGUACACAAUGUUCCAAAUAGUCAAUGGAAGGUGCAUGAAGGAUAGCAUGUAUGGAAUGUACUUGCCACUUUAUGUGUGUACCUUAGUGUUGCUUCAAGUAUUGGUUCCUUUAUUAGCUUUGAUGGAAUAUUUUUAUCUUAUAUUCGAAUUUAGAAGGUAUCUGUAUAAGUAUCACCAAGUGAUUUGUCUCCAAUAGAUGUCACUUAUUAAUGCUAUUUUAUUAAUAGUUCAGGUAUGGCCUUACUAAUACGAGUCCCACUGAAAAGAAUGUCUUGGGUAGGUUGGUAUUUUGAAUUUCUCUGUAUCUUGAUCUUGCAUAUUGGGACUUGCUCCUUGGGUUGCCCGUUGCCCCAGUCAUGGGUUUCCCUCUCUACUAUCUCAGAUGUAUCUUGAGUUCACUUCCAUUUCCUGGACAAACACUUGCAUGUCAGGUAAUAUGACUACUCUAUUUUGUUUCUUUGUAUAAUUAAUUGAUUGUUAUGAUUCAUUUCCCGUACUAAAAGUGAUUGAAACAUAUGUCUUAAUAUUGAUUAUUCUGUUAUGUGUGGCAACUCCAUGCUUUUGGCUCAUUAUGAUCUUUAUUCCAUCACAAGCAUUCAAUUCCUAUUAAUGUACAUUUGGUUACAGAGUGAGGUUGUGCUCUUCUUUCAGUUGUCUCCGAAUAUAGAUUUACCUCUUCUUUUGUUUACAACCUCUUGGAUGUGCAAUCAUGUCACAUCAUUUGCAAACAUCGAUCAACAGUACAUGCCUGGACAUAGUGUGCCAGCAGCGAGGAGUAUCACCGCCGCGUCUGCGUCAUUUGUUGUCCUCGGUAUAGAGAAUCUGUCUAUGCAGCACCACUAGGUGUACCAAUUGCUUAUGUUGUUCUCCCUAGCGCCUUAAACCAUGGUCAAUGGUGCACUAAGAUGGCAAACUACAGGAGAAUAUUUGGGCUAAGGAAUUGAGAUUUUCUUUAGUAUAUGGCUAGGCUAUUCGUUUGCACUAUGCUUAAAGUAUUUUCUCAGUUUUGAGUUAAUUAGCAUUCUUACAUUCUUCAGUUUUUUAUUUCUUUCUUUGUAGAUUGCAGCCCUCCUCUGUGCAAUAAUUCCCUGGAGACAAAGGUUGAAUUUCCUCUGUCAUUUCAUGGUCUAACCAAGAUUUUGAUUUAGCUCAUUAUUUUGUGCUUGAGACAAUUUUAUUAUCAAACCAAACUGCUGAAUGCAUGCUUGUCUAAAAUGUCGCAUACCCAACUAACUCCGUAUGAAAAUAAGAAAAGUCAAUAUCAACUGGCAUGUCCUGAAACCAAUCGGAAGGAAAUAAUUAAGGUCUCUGCUGGUGAGGGUGGUCCAUAGUUCUGCAUUUUUGAAACUUCAAACUUGGAUGCUCCUCUAUUCUGUUUCAGGAUGUGUAAACUUAUCCAGAAUUAUAAUCACCGGUCAUUAUUGUACUGAGGAAAGGGGAGAUAAUGUAGUUGAAUAUGUUCCUAAUUAUAUAAAAGUAAAUGUGUUUACUUAUCUACUACUAUCUAUUUUCAUCUGCCUUUUCUUAUCCUGGACUGGGCUUCAUUUCACAGUGGGUUGAUAUGAAAAUCCAUAACUGCAUAUUGGAUAAUUCAUUUCCGUUUUCGUAUUCUUUAAAUAGGUAAACACACCAAGGAUAUUGACAUAUUGUAGUUCUGCUCAUGUGUGGCAUAGCAGCAGCGGUGGGACGAGUUUACUUGUGCUAGGACUGAACGAUGAAAGAGGUUGCUGGAUUCAACCUUUGCAACUACGGCUUGGGCGCAGCCAAAUACAUUCUAUUUUCUGGACCUUUCCUUCAUAAAUUGAGCAUUAUGAUCAAUUCAUUCACAAGGUUGUUGAGGUUCUAACAAUUUUUAUGCUUGAGGUGAUGCUGAAGCCCAACCACAAGUACAUGACUCACGUGGCUGAGAUAAAAUAGUGGCCAUCAUCACGUUCUACCCAUGAAUUCACAGUCGUUAGCCUGCGUAUGGGAGUCUUUCAGUGUGUAGAAGUCCUAUGGACAGUUUGGUGGACGCCAAUAGGAUACACUUAAUGAUUAUAAAAAUACUGCAAGAUUAUAGCUACAAUGAGGUUGACAGCAAAAAUGGACUCGUGAGAAAACUCUGCUGCUCAUCUAACUCAGCUGACUAAUCACUGAUUUACAUUGAUGCUUAAUAUAGCAUUUUAAGAAUUAUGAAAGAUGGGGUCAUGGGAGAGAAAGCUUUAUUGCUGUCAAACAUGUCUUCGUUUUUUCUGAACAAGUACUGAAUACUACUAUAUUGUAUUUUGGAGUGGUCUUCUUUGUAACGUUCACGACUAGGGGUUUAGGUUUAAACAUGUAGGUGCCUCCUUGGAGAUGCAUAUAGAGAUGAGAAUGAACACAAUAAAUGAAUGUUAAUUGCUAUAAUUUAUUCUCUCCUUUUUCCUGGUUGUAUAAAAACGUUUGUUACUCCAUUUGAAAUUUUUCAUCAUGUUUUGUAAGACAUGAGAAAAUUAUUAUUACUUUUUUCACUUAUA
Molecule: long non-coding RNA, 4026 nt
Organism: Lolium perenne
Lineage: Eukaryota; Viridiplantae; Streptophyta; Magnoliopsida; Poales; Poaceae
Source: RefSeq, a predicted model, not a curated record